UACAUGGGGUGCAAACGUUGCUCGGAAUUAUUGGGCGUAAAGCGCGCGUAGGCGGUUACUCAAGUCGGAUGUGAAAGCCCUCGGCUUAACUGAGGAAGUGCACCCGAAACUGAGUAGCUAGAGUACUAAAGAGGGUCGCGGAAUUCCCGGUGUAGCGGUGGAAUGCGUAGAGAUCGGGAAGAACAUCGGUGGCGAAGGCGGUCUGCUGGGCCGUUGCUGACGCUGAGGCGCGACAGCGUGGGGAGCAAACAGG
Molecule: ribosomal RNA, 253 nt
Filed under: uncultured bacterium
Lineage: Bacteria
Description: partial 16S ribosomal RNA
Rfam family: Bacterial small subunit ribosomal RNA
Source: RNAcentral